CAGUCGCCGCGGGAAUACGGAGGGUGCAAGCGUUACUCGGAAUUACUGGGCGUAAAGCGUGCGUAGGUGGUGGUUUAAGUCCGUUGUGAAAGCCCUGGGCUCAACCUGGGAAUUGCAGUGGAUACUGGGUCACUAGAGUGUGGUAGAGGAUAGUGGAAUUUCCGGUGUAGCAGUGAAAUGCGUAGAGAUCGGAAGGAACAUCUGUGGCGAAGGCGACUAUCUGGGCCAACACUGACACUGAGGCACGAAAGCGUGGGGAGCAAACAGGAUUAGAUACCCGCGUAGUCCCUGUCUCUUAUAC
This 301-nucleotide ribosomal RNA is filed under the name uncultured bacterium. RNAcentral describes it as "partial 16S ribosomal RNA". It matches the Rfam family "Bacterial small subunit ribosomal RNA", at positions 509 to 807 of the family's 1533-position model. The record is from RNAcentral.